Molecule: ribosomal RNA, 494 nt
Filed under: uncultured bacterium
Lineage: Bacteria
Description: partial 16S ribosomal RNA
Rfam family: Bacterial small subunit ribosomal RNA
Source: RNAcentral
GACGAACGCUGGCGGCGUGCUUAACACAUGCAAGUCGAACGGAAAGGCCUGCUUUCCCUUGUGGAUUGCGGGUACUCGAGUGGCGAACGGGUGAGUAACACGUGAGUGAUCUGCCCCCAACUUGGGUAUAAGCCUGGGAAACUGGGUCUAAUUCCCGAUAGGACUGCAGGGCGGUGCCUGUGGUGGAAAACGAUUUUCUAGUGGUUGGGGAUGAGCUCGCGGCCUAUCAGCUUGUUGGUGGGGUAAUGGCCUACCAAGGCGGCGACGGGUAGCCGGCCUGAGAGGGUGGACGGCCACAUUGGGACUGAGAUACGGCCCAGACUCCGACGGGAGGCGGCAGUGGGGAAGAUUGCACAAUGGGCGGAAGCCUGAUGCAGCGACGCCGCGUGGGGGAUGACGGCCUUCGGGUUGUAAACUCCUUUCGACCGCGAGGAAGCCACCUGGUUGGAAGGGUGGUGACGGUAGUGGUAGAAGAAGCACCGGCUAACUACGUG